AGGCUGGUGCAAAAGUAAUUGCAGUUUUUGCCAUUGAAAGUAAUGGCAAAAAAUCACAAUUACUUUUGCACCAACCUAA
This 79-nucleotide microRNA precursor is filed under the name Rhinopithecus bieti (black snub-nosed monkey). RNAcentral describes it as "miRNA (ENSRBIG00000023963.1)". The record is from RNAcentral. Lineage: Eukaryota; Metazoa; Chordata; Mammalia; Primates; Cercopithecidae.